RNAcentral lists this long non-coding RNA (212 nucleotides) under Gallus gallus (chicken). Lineage: Eukaryota; Metazoa; Chordata; Aves; Galliformes; Phasianidae. The record is from RNAcentral.
CAACAUAAUUGCGGUCUGUGCACAACCGCAGUCCUUCCUGCAUUGUCUCAUUAGCUAACCACUCUUCUAACUUGGGGGAAGUUGUGACAUAAUAGAUGAUCCCCUUCACAUAGUAAGUGGUGAGAAUUUUCCGGAGAUCAAAGACUUGCAGCAUGGAUGCCGCACUGUUGUCUGUGAUACUAUAACCCUCCAGAACAUACUUUGUGACAAGC